AUUGAACGCUGGCGGCAUGCUUUACACAUGCAAGUCGAACGGUAACAGGGUGCUUGCACCGCUGACGAGUGGCGAACGGGUGAGUAAUGCAUCGGAAUGUACCGUGUAAUGGGGGAUAGCUCGGCGAAAGCCGGAUUAAUACCGCAUACGCCCUGAGGGGGAAAGUGGGGGACCGAAAGGCCUCACGUUAUACGAGCAGCCGAUGUCUGAUUAGCUCGUUGGUGAGGUAAAGGCUCACCAAGGCGUCGAUCAGUAGCGGGUCUGAGAGGAUGAUCCGCCACACUGGGACUGAGACACGGCCCAGACUCCUACGGGAGGCAGCAGUGGGGAAUUUUGGACAAGGGGCGCAAGCCUGAUCCAGCCAUGCCGCGUGUCUGAAGAAGGCCUUCGGGUUGUAAAGGACUUUUGUCCGGGAGCAAAUCCUAGUGGUUAAUAACCGCUGGGUCUGAGAGUACCGGAAGAAUAAGCACCGGCUAACUACG
RNAcentral lists this ribosomal RNA (482 nucleotides) under uncultured bacterium. RNAcentral's name for it is "partial 16S ribosomal RNA". It matches the Rfam family "Bacterial small subunit ribosomal RNA", at positions 30 to 505 of the family's 1533-position model. The record is from RNAcentral.